GGCUAUAUUGGUGCACACAAUUUAGAUAAUGACAUCGCAAUUAGAGAAGGCGACGUACACUCAAAAAGAAAAAAAGAUUUUAUAUGUCAGAGACCUAUUGGGCAUAGGUUUCAUUCAUCAUACUCUCGUCAUGUGAUGGACCCACAGGCGCCUCGGUGAUUGGUGGCGAGUAUGAUAAAUUCCUCCAGCGGAUGAGGCCAAGAAGAGUCGUCGGUCAAAGUAGAUGC
This 227-nucleotide long non-coding RNA is filed under the name Elaeis guineensis (African oil palm). RNAcentral describes it as "long non-coding RNA (EGUI_LNC000215)". Lineage: Eukaryota; Viridiplantae; Streptophyta; Magnoliopsida; Arecales; Arecaceae. The record is from RNAcentral.